Long non-coding RNA from Drosophila willistoni, 1314 nucleotides. RefSeq lists it as uncharacterized. Lineage: Eukaryota; Metazoa; Arthropoda; Insecta; Diptera; Drosophilidae. The record is from RefSeq and is a predicted model, not a curated record. The transcript has 2 exons.
UUCGACGACCAUUGCCUCCGUCUGGCUGGUGUGGUGGUGCCGCCUCUGUGGAUAUAUAAAGUGAGCAAAACGAACGAACGCGAACUGCUUGGGUCUCUGGUCUGGAUUUGGUUUGUUUUCUGUUUUUUUUUUUUAUUUUGCUGCGCGCGUAUCGCAAAAGUUCUGUCGUAGUCGCAGAGCUACUUGAGUAGGCUGCCUGCCGUCUGUCUUGUUGUUUUGACUUUGCCUCAAUCUUAAUCUUCAAACGAAACAACCAACCAACGACACACCCUAUAAAAAAACAUAUACGUGCGGUUCCGCCUAUGGCAAGCGAGCAUAUUUCUGAAGGAUGUAAUCCAACCCAUCGAAGACUUGGAGUAGCUAGCAGAUUUGAUGUGAAAUCCAGAGACUGUGAUCCGUGGCGAUACACAAGCAUAAUCUCUAUGCCAAAGGGAUCAGCAUCUACCAGUAUAUAGGCAGGUAAAUUGAAUUCCAUGGUCAAUCGAUGGACCAGACGACGAGUACUGCAAUCCGGAUAUCCCUUGCCGGUUACAAGAAUCAAACGUAUGCCAAAUGAAUUGAAAAUAUUUCGCGAUAAUAAUGACUCGAAAACCGAUUCCUUUUCGACAAUCAAAACAAGUUCGGCUCUGGUGUCAAUGUGAUCAACAUUUUCAAAAUCAAUGGGCAACGAAAUGGCUCCACCAUAGGCAUUACAAUCUAGAAUAUCUCCAUUGCUCAUUGUCAUCCGAAUGUCACCUGAAAAGAAAGCAUAAAUUAGAUAAAAUAUCGUUAAAUUACUUGACUCGAGUGAUAGUGCUUACCUGCUAGUAGACCUUUGGAUGCCGACAGAAUUCCCAAAUGAAAUGGCGCCGUAUUUAGUAUGCGACAAACAUCCAAUUUGGCUGCCACAAUGAAUGAUUGUGCCCGGAUCAGCUGGGUAUUGCGAUAAUAGAGUCCCCGCACCGUGCAACUACCCCCUUCAGCCAGCAGACGAUGAAUCUCAGCCAACAUAUAGAUCAGCAGGCAAAAACGAUGUCGGCUCCGAUUAUUAUUAUAUGUUACACAACGAAAUGGUGAGUGAAUUUCUCCAUUCUUCUCCCUUUCCGUUCGAUAUCGUGGAACUUUAAAUGUGGCAGAUCCACGCAUCACCAGCUCCAACAGCAUUUCCAUUACCAAUCGUUCCAAAUUGUUCAAUAUUAAUACUUUAUUUUCCUUUGAAACUUUUUCCAUGUUCUUUUAACCUGUUCUUUGCUUUCCCAUGAACUUAAUGUAAUUGUUUCUCUUAAUCAUAAAACGAAAAUUAAAAAUAUUUACACUUAAUGUACGCAAAACAGA